This 505-nucleotide ribosomal RNA is filed under the name uncultured Desulfobulbus sp. Its description in RNAcentral is "bacterial SSU rRNA". It matches the Rfam family "Bacterial small subunit ribosomal RNA", at positions 903 to 1382 of the family's 1533-position model. The record is from RNAcentral. Lineage: Bacteria; Pseudomonadati; Thermodesulfobacteriota; Desulfobulbia; Desulfobulbales; Desulfobulbaceae.
UUGCCAGCCCGCUCAGAACUUAAAGGAAUUGACGGGGCCCGCACAAGCGGUGGAGCAUGUGGUUUAAUUCGAUGCAACGCGAAGAACCUUACCUGGUCUUGACAUCCCGGAGACCCUUAGGAAACUAGGGGGUGCUUCCAUCUGGAAGAAUCUGGAGACAGGUGCUGCAUGGCUGUCGUCAGCUCGUGUCGUGAGAUGUUGGGUUAAGUCCCGCAACGAGCGCAACCCUUGCCUUUAGUUGCCAGCAGUUCGGCUGGGCACUCUAAAGGGACUGCCGGUGUUAAACCGGAGGAAGGUGGGGAUGACGUCAAGUCCUCAUGGCCUUUAUGACCAGGGCUACACACGUACUACAAUGGCCGAUACAAAGGGCAGCGACACUGCGAGGUGAAGCCAAUCCCGUAAAAUCGGUCUCAGUCCGGAUUGGAGUCUGCAACUCGACUCCAUGAAGUUGGAAUCGCUAGUAAUCGUGGAUCAGCAUGCCACGGUGAAUACGUUCCCGGGCCUU